UCGGGUGGCGGACGGGUGAGUAACGCGUGAGGAACCUGCCUCAAAGAGGGGGACAACAGUUGGAAACGACUGCUAAUACCGCAUAAGCCCACGACCCGGCAUCGGGAAGAGGGAAAAGGAGCAAUCCGCUUUGAGAUGGCCUCGCGUCCGAUUAGCUAGUUGGUGAGGUAACGGCCCACCAAGGCGACGAUCGGUAGCCGGACUGAGAGGUUGAACGGCCACAUUGGGACUGAGACACGGCCCAG
This 245-nucleotide ribosomal RNA is filed under the name uncultured bacterium. RNAcentral's name for it is "partial 16S ribosomal RNA". It matches the Rfam family "Bacterial small subunit ribosomal RNA", at positions 91 to 334 of the family's 1533-position model. The record is from RNAcentral.